Delphinapterus leucas (beluga whale) is the source of this 454-nucleotide long non-coding RNA. RefSeq lists it as uncharacterized. Lineage: Eukaryota; Metazoa; Chordata; Mammalia; Artiodactyla; Monodontidae. The record is from RefSeq and is a predicted model, not a curated record.
UUUCCAUUUCCAAAGCACCCGAGGGAGGCACUUACAGACAUCCAGACCCAGCAACAUCCACCUGGUUGUGCUGAGCAAAGGAAAGCCCAAGGUGCUGAACGAUUACAUAGACAUCUGGGACCAAUGAAGAGCCUAGGCUGUCACGGUUAUCUCCGAUGGAGCAGUUAGGGAAGAGGACAACUGCCAACCCCCUAGCGCAUCCCUGGUGCUAAGGGGGCACUGCUGUGAUGGUGGUCGUGGGGCAGCAGCAGUGAAGGAAUCCUGACUGCGUCCUGGCGUCUGGCUGGCUGGUGACCAGGGGCCAUGUGGGCCAGACUGUUGGUAGGCUCAGUCUCAUUUCUGUUCAUGUGAUGGCCUGGGUAUCCCGAAACAUGGUACCCACAAACUCAAGAAGGAAACCAGAGGGAAAGGCAAUGAUGUUGGUACUAAGACAUUUAUUACAUCAUAAAAAAUC